UUCACUUUCACGGCUUUCAAUGCAGUUAAGUUCAAGAGAACUAUAGUUUGGUGAUAUGGAUCCCAAACGGAAGGGAACAGCAGCGGUUUGUAGUUGUAGAGAACUAAUUAGCGCUAAGAGUUGUUAAAGGGACAGUUUGGUCAAUUUCAACAUGCAGUUGUAAUGCUCACACUACCCUGGACUUGUCAGUGCCUGAGAUUUUUUUUCUUCUUCUUCAGCUGUUUCCGAGAUCCUGGUCAUUGUAAUGGGGGCAACUCUUUGUUUACAUUUCAAAAAAACAUUUUUAUUUAUUCCCAAAAACAUCCAAAAGGUUAUAAAACAUCAGCAGACAACUAGCAAACAGCAGUACCUUUUGGGAAAAUAUUUGGAGUUGGCCUAGGUUUCAUUUUUUAAAAAUGUAAACAAACGCUGCCCCCAUUAGAAUUGCUCAUAUCUCGGAAAGGGCUGAGCCGAAAAAUGUGCCAUCACCAGGUACUGACAAGUCAAGGGUAGCGUGAGCAAUACAACUGCAUGUUGAAAUUGACCAAACUGUCCCUUUAACCUGUUGUUUCUUGUUUACCUGUCACAGUAGCCCAUAGCACUUUUGUCAUAGAGAGCAACUUGGUCAGUAAAUAUCUGCCUGCUGUAUAAAGUAGCAGUAUUUGGAUAAGUUACAGCUAACACGGACGGCGAACUUUAGACUGUAUAUUGUGUGUUUGACAGAUUUCUGACAGCGACAGCGAUGGUGAGGGAAGCAGUGUACCGAACUCUCAGAUGACUCGGACCAGGUGACCAAACCCAUGCAAAACACAAUGGAGAUUAACAAGAGGCUGGAUGCUGCGUCCAUCACCAGAGGGGCCGGGAUUGCUGCGGCAGCUAGCCAAUUAAAGGAGGAGGAUGAAGGAGAGGAGUCUGACGAUGCAGACAUCGCCAUCGUAUGCAGGCCACGCCCUCGCAGGAAAACCAGCCAAUGAAAACGCUCGCAGCAGCAUCAGCAGAACACACCGGCACGACUGACAGAGCUUCUGAAGCAUGCAGUGGAAGAGCUGUCAGUCAAGCUAAAGGUCCCGCCCUCCAACCUGCUGCUGCUGCACGGAGAGGCGGAACUUAACACCUCACACACUAUUGGCCAGCUAGGACUCUGCAUCGCUGACAUCAUUGUCUGGAACCAACUUCACAUCCCUCUUCACUGCACUACUGACACUGAGAUGGAAUCCACAACCCAACCACUAGUGGUCUGCAUUGGGAACCUGAAGAGUCUGUCAUCACCACCAGGAAUGACCGCGUGACCAUUCCCGUUGCAGACGGCCUGACUUGCACAAUUGACAAGCUGUUCAAGCUUUACUGGGUCUGCAACUUGUCAUAUCCAGCACAGCUCAGCUCUGUUUUCACCUUCUUUGAAUAUGUUUAUGACGUUCCAUCUCAACCAACA
Molecule: long non-coding RNA, 1411 nt
Organism: Engraulis encrasicolus (European anchovy)
Lineage: Eukaryota; Metazoa; Chordata; Actinopteri; Clupeiformes; Engraulidae
Exons: 4
Source: RefSeq, a predicted model, not a curated record